GGAGAAAUAGUGCCCGGCUCCCAGGGCGGAGGGAGACAGAGAGCAGCAGCAGCGGCGGCGGGAAAGCGGCUCGAAACUCCGUGUUCCCAAACGCUCGUCGCCAAGUCCCGGAGGCUCCGCGACUGCCGGCUUGGCUCGGCCCGGCCCGGCCCGGUGCAGCCCGCGGAAGGCGGCGGUGGGGCCCGCUCACGUCGGCGGAAACGCGCUCCGCUGUGGACAGUUGCCCAUUUGGCCAGAAUGAGGACAACCAGCAGGAGCUGGCAAAACAUCCUGCCAGAUCAGAACUCUCAUCUCCUUCCAGGGGAAUAACUUAGUGCAGCUAUGAGCAGAAGGACCUUGCCGUUCUUGUCACCAGAAGUUUGAUUCAAGUUUAAGAUAAGAGUCAGAGACAGUAUUCCUGGAGAUUGGUUUGGGCACUAAAAAGCGAAAAGAGUAUGAGAGGAAGAAUUAAUUUCUUUGUCCGCUGCCCGUUCUCAGCUGCCUUCCUUUACAACCUUGGGAAGAUCUGCUCUGCCUCGGUUUCACCCUCUGUAAAAUGGGAAUAAUAAUACUGACAGAGCCCUCCUUUUAGAUCCUUGGAUCAAAGGUACUAUAUAAGUUCAAAGUGCUGUUUCUAUAGGGCAUUAUUGCCAAAUUCACUAUAAGCAAUUCCAUUGGGUACUUGAUAACAACAGUAGAAUCAGUCAAACGCCCUUGAUGCAUUGCAUGGUCCCAGAUACCUUUCAGAGCGUCUUUGUGUGCCAUCCCACCCCCUGAGGUCUGCAGGGAUGGGGCUUUUGGAGCCUGGAUUUUGCAGGAGCAGGAGGGGUACGGUCCGUCUCUUUGCUUCUGGCCCCUGAACUGUGGACCGCUUUUCUUUUUGACCUGACGAGGACAACUGCAACUAGCCCUUUUAAAAACAGGUUUAAAACAUACAAGUUUUAUUUAUAUAUAUACAUUUCAUAAGGCCUUUAGUACAUAAUGCUAAACUCUUGUUGAUUUUUGGUUGCUUUAUUCUUGCAUGGUUUGUUGUCAUUUUAAUCUGCAUAUGUUUCACUGCAAAGUGGUUAGGGUACUUUCAGAUCUAGACAAAUUGCUAAUACAAAUUUGGUUAAUAUUAGCUUUGCAAUUUUUAGCUACUAGGUAGCUAAACAUUUUCUACAAUUUCACCUUAAAAAACUAAAACCCUACCCCAGGAAAACCAAUAUAUUAAUAGCUGCAAGUGUUGCAAUUAUGAUUAACCCUAAUCCUUAACAGUGUUCUUUCAAUUAUAAAAAUGUUUCUAAAGUACAUUUUAUGUUUCUGAUUUUUCUAAAAUACAGUGUGUCAUGGUCCACAAGCAAAACAGGAAGAGUAAAUGUUAUAUUAGGUAUUACAGUGUGGGGCUUCACGAGUAAAUUCAUAAGCAGCCCGGCUAUUCUCCCUCUUCUACCUUCUUUUCUUUCUCCCCCAAGAAGCACUGAGCGUGUAUCUUCAGCUUCAGAAGUUUCCUUCAAGCCCUUUUAUACUUGAAUAGGUUUGUUUUGGUGGCUGUUUGCUAGAUGAGUAUGCUGCAGACAUAUUUUUUUCAAAGGGUCAAGCAGUCUCCUAACGUGUCCAUUGUGUAGCACUGCAGUAAGAAAUCCUCAGUGCAAAGAAGAGCUUCAUGGAUAAUGAUUUAAAUGUUUUUGUUAACCUGUUUUUUUUUGUUUUUGUUUUGUUUUUGGUGAGUCAACUUUUAACAGGCUAGAAAGCAGGAAACUCAUUAAUUAAAAAUAACAAUCAGCUAAAGGUAAACUUAGUUGGUCACCUUUCCUUCUGAAAUCUGGCAUUUAGCUAUGUUUGUAAGGAACAUAGUAACGAAUGAGUAGCCACGGCACUCAUGUAAGGACAAAGCAAAAUUACCAAUUUUGGAAACAUCUAGGGCCCUGGGCCUGAAUCUUCGGUUUCCCAUAUUGAUCUUAAAGAUGUAUGCAAAAUUGGCUUUUAACCAUGCAUACUGUAGGAAUAUAUUCAAGAAUCAACUACAGAUAUUUUUUCAGGCACUGACUAAAUAUAUAUUCACUUGUCAGCAAAAAAAUACAUCAUCCUGAUCCUCUUAAAGAGGGGGGAAAAAAAAAGAAGGGAUCUUCUUCCACCAAAGUGAAGUUGUAGUGUAUUAAAAAAGUCACAUAUUUUCACUUUCAUACAGGAAUGAUGGGGAAAAGAGAGGAGAUCUUGCAAUACUCAAGCACUCUUUGAGAUACAGAACUAAUCAAUGUAACUUCUGCCUUAUACACAAGCGCUACAGUUUAUUAAUACACGUCAGAAUCUUUGCUAUGGUCAAGCAAAUAGCUGUGCCAUUCAGGCUGAGUUUCAGCAAUGAAUAAACAAACUUCUUUAUGGACAAAGAAUGAGAAUUUGGCAAACUCAAAAUACUGGUGAGAUUCCACUUUUCUCAGGAAUUGCACAAAAAACUAUGCAAGUGUGGAACUGGAUCAUUUUGAAGGAGAGACCCUACAAAUCAUUAAUAAAUUAUAUAGAAGAUACUGAUCAAAACAUCUUGUUAACUAGUUUGAAUGCCAGAAAUUGGAGCAGUCUAUAAAUCUUGCUUCAAGCAUCAGAAAUAGAAUUGUCAUUGGCCAGCAAUUUGAUUUUUAUUUUUUUUUUUUAAGUUAUUCUUUCCCUUGGUAUUCCCUAUUUUGGAUAUAUACAAUAUGCCUUAAUAUUUCCCUCUUUAAUUAAGUACAUGAGAAUGCCUACAAGAAUGUAACUGCAUUUACCACGUAUGUUUCAGAAACUGAAAAAAAGUCUCCAGCUGAUUUAGCAGCUGAGGCAUUACUCAUCAGAAUAUCUGAUUACUGGCAUAUUAAGCAGUGGAGCAGAAUAAACACGAAGCAUUGUGUCUCCCAGUACAUACAGUUUAAUUGCUACUAGCCAAAUAAACAUCAAGGUAGCUGUAUAUUCAAAAUUUAUUGCAAGAUCAUGUAAACAGAAACCCACAGUAUUGAUCCCUUUCAAAAUGUUGUCAUUAUUAAGUACACCACAGCCUUUAACAUUUCUGUGUGCCUGUCUCUCAAUGGUUAUGGGUCUCAUACUCCUCAUUUAAAACAACUGCAAUGGUUGUGUUUAGGCACCUUGGCAGAAAAACCAGCCAGAAACACGGGCAAAAACAAAAACAGUGGCAGAGGUUCGACACCUGCCUCCUCCUUCCCUAAUCAAAGUCUGUCCACCUGAAACCCUGAUUUCCUAGAGUUGUAACCCUUUAAUUGUCUGAUCUAAAUAUAUAGCUUUACUCGUAUAGAAAGCUGUCUUUAAAAAGGUGAUAUAUGUAAAUAGGUUGAUAUAUGUAAAAAGGUUGAUAGAUGUAAUUUUUGCCUUUUUCUUUCAAUAGCUGUAGGCCAGAUUUCCUUAUUCUAAGUAAUUGAUUCUAAUAUGUAAUCUUAAAACACGAUAGUAAAUUAUUAAGACCUCGUUUUUCUGUUCAGACCUCUCUUUCUUAAUUACUGUGCUGUCUGAAAAUAUGAGUAUCAGGGUAGGAGCUUCAUUUGAACAAAUCUCCAAACAGGCUGUGCAUGGAUUAGGGCUUCAGAUUUUCCUUAUGCCUCAGAAUAUUUUCCUCUUCCCUUUCUAGCUGAAACCCCUGAGCAGCUGUGAACACCUCUUGCUAUCUAGAGGCUUGGCUCCCCUAACGCUGUCCAGUCAUCUUAAGAAUCCACUGAUCAGAUGAGUUUCAAUGACCGGUAAUCAAGAUUUUCCUUAAAGCCCGCAGCAUGGAGGUGAUAGUUGUAGCAUUCCUGCUGUUAUGGCAAGGAAACACUCUUAUUUCCUAACGUCUUGGUUCUCGUGAAAUAUGGGUAACGCCAUACUUCAGACAUAUUUACAGACGCCAUUGAAGAAAGGGUAGACAACAGCUAGAAACUCCAACACCACAAUACGAUUACAGUAUGUUUUCCUUUCCUUGUUCUUUCAAUUCACCGUAAAUUUCAUCCCAGCUCACAGAAAUCAUCAUUCUUUCCCCCUUUUUAUUUCAAAAUGGUUGCGUAUUUUUCAUUCACGAAAAGGUUAAAGGCGUUUCCCCAUCGCAGGAGGGAUUAUCUUACCAGAGGAUUCUGGGACUGCAGAUGUAUACUGCGGCAAAAUCCUAAAUUCAUCGGCAAAAAAAAAAAAAAAUUUCCAAACCCCAGCUGCUAAAAAUCAUGGAAUUAGAGGAAAUCAUUGGUAAGAUUAAAACAUAAAGCCAGUUUUACAUUCCAAACCGCUCUAAAACACGAGUCUUUUCUCUUAAUUCGUUUCUUAAAUAAUGCAAAUUUUAAAGUAGCUUUUCUAUCCCAAGCACGCAGCGCCAUGAAAUCGAUAAUUUUUGAUCUUUUGGUUAGUAGGCAACAUGGUGAGCUAUUGCAGUGACUGCAGGCAGCAGACAUGUUCUUGUCAGCUCCAAAUUUUCAUCUUGUUUUGGAGUCCAUGGAGAUUUGUGGAUGGGAUACAGCCAGUUUCAAGCUCCAGCUUGCACUUUGCUGGGGGGACGUAAACCAGCACCCUUUUAGAUGCGUCUAUAGAUACAGAUAUAUGUUUUAAAAAGAAGAAGCAUUACUGGAUUUUAAACAAAAAAUUAUGUAAAAAGAAUGGCUGGUGUGAUUAUAAUCGCAUCAUGCAGGGUCCACGGUUUCCAUUUAGUGAAAUUUCGCAGAGGGCAACUUCUUAAGAACAUCCCUGCUGUGCAGAGUGAAAAGCAUGAACAAACCAAAGACAGAAUUCAUCUGUGUUUAUAUUUUACAGACAAUGAAAAACCUACUCUUUGUAUGCCUUUUUUUCCACCUUAUUAUUUCACGAAAACUGCAGCAUUUUCCCCGCCCCCACCCGAACACUCACCACCCCAGCACUGCAGUGUUCGGGCUUGCUUGCUUGCUUUCUUUCUUUCUGUCUCUUUUUUUUGCCAUCUCUUCUUCUUCUUUUUUGCUUUCACAAAUUCUGCAUGCGCCAUCUUUGUCUAUUGUUACUCUUUUCUAAUUUCUCUUGCCCGUUCUCUUUCAAAUCAGCUAAUAAACACAAGGCUAAAUGCCUGAUCAAUGCUUAUGUGUUAUAUUCUCCCCAUCUUUUUUCUUUUGAAGAAAUAAAAUUAAAAAUAAAUUUAAAAGAAUCAACAGAACCAACACCCCAUGCCCCAAAAUUUCUGUAUUACCAUAACCUGUUGUAUACAGUGGUGAUAAAAAACAUUAUUAACAUAAUAGCAACAGCUGCAGCCUAAAUAGAAGCUAUGAGAUAAUAAAUGUGCUACAACAAAUUAA
Strigops habroptila (Kakapo) is the source of this 5225-nucleotide long non-coding RNA. RefSeq lists it as uncharacterized. The record is from RefSeq and is a predicted model, not a curated record. Lineage: Eukaryota; Metazoa; Chordata; Aves; Psittaciformes; Psittacidae. The transcript has 3 exons.